GCCUUCGUGGUGUAAUGGCCAGCACUCUAGCCGCGUAUUCCAGAGGUCCGAGGUUCGAGUCCCGGCGAGGACA
RNAcentral lists this transfer RNA (73 nucleotides) under Stegodyphus mimosarum. It matches the Rfam family "tRNA". Rfam says of the family: Transfer RNA (tRNA) molecules are approximately 80 nucleotides in length. The record is from Rfam by way of RNAcentral. Lineage: Eukaryota; Metazoa; Arthropoda; Arachnida; Araneae; Eresidae.